GGAGAUAAAAGAAUAUUGAAUAAUUUGAUUACAGGUUAGAGGGAAAGUACAUAUCUACGCCAAAUAAAGUGGCCCCAUUUGGGAUUUCUACAGAAUAGAUCUUUUUAUAACUUUGGCAAGGUUAGUGAAAUGUAAUUUUAUUAAAAUGUUUACUUUUAGAAUAAUGAGAAAGUUACUUUGUUUUAAUUUUCAGGUGAUCAGUGAAGGUACUCUUGAAUUUGCUUUUUUCUUUAAAUUGACAAAGCAUUGCAAAUAAUUUAAAACAUCUGUAAUUCUGCAGUGAUAGUGCUGUAUAAUAUGUGGUUUAUAUUUGAAUUAAAAGUUUAUUUUUAAAUUGAUUUAGAGAUUUAUCUACUUGAAUAAAGUUAAUAAUUUGUAAAAUCCUUCAAAUAACAGAACACAGUAUAAAGAAUUUUUUCUAGGAAGUAUAAUUAUAGAUUUUGAUAGUUAUGUAAGUAUAUAACCUAAAUACUAUUUUAAUUAACAUUAAUUUGUUUCAUGACCUAG
RNAcentral lists this long non-coding RNA (507 nucleotides) under Bos taurus (domestic cattle). RNAcentral describes it as "long non-coding RNA NONBTAT016324". The record is from RNAcentral. Lineage: Eukaryota; Metazoa; Chordata; Mammalia; Artiodactyla; Bovidae.